RNAcentral lists this ribosomal RNA (839 nucleotides) under Diversispora versiformis. RNAcentral describes it as "eukaryotic LSU rRNA". It matches the Rfam family "Eukaryotic large subunit ribosomal RNA", at positions 1 to 695 of the family's 3401-position model. The record is from RNAcentral. Lineage: Eukaryota; Fungi; Glomeromycota; Glomeromycetes; Diversisporales; Diversisporaceae.
ACCUCAGCUCAAGCAAGAAAACCCGCUGAACUUAAGCAUAUCAAUAAGCGGAGGAAAAGAAACUAACAAGGAUUCCCCUAGUAACGGCGAGUGAAGAGGGAAAAGCUCAAAUUUUAAAUCUACCUGGUUCCCCAGGUCGAAUUGUAUUUUGAAGAAUCGAUAUCGGUGUUGAGGUCUGGUUCAAGUUCUUUGGAACAAGACAUCAUGGAGGGUGAGAAUCCCGUGCAUGAUCAGACCAAGAUACUUUAUAUUCGUUUUCUAAGAGUCGAGUUGUUUGGGAAUGCAGCUCAAAUUGGGUGGUAGACUUCACCUAAGGCUAAAUAUCAGCGAGAGACCGAUAGCGAACAAGUACUGUGAAGGAAAGAUGAAAAGCACUUUGAAAAGAGAGUUAAAUAGUACGUGAAAUUGUUGAAAGGGAAACGAUUGAAGUCAGUCAUGCUAGUGAAAAUUCAGUUUGACGGGUUUUGGGUUUAGGAGUAAGAGAUAGGGUCAAACCAUCUCUCUUUUAAACUUGGGAUUUGUCGGAUGCACUUUUUCUUUGGCAGGUCAGCGUCGAUUUCGGGGGUUGUAAAAUACUUGGGGGAAAGUAGCUCUGCUUCGGGAGAGUGUUAUAGACCUUGGGAGAUGCAGCCCGUGGGAUCGAGGAUUGCAGCAAAUGCCUUUGGCUUGUCUUCUGAUCUUUGAUUGUUACCUCGUUUAUGACAACAUUCUUGCCAUCGAUGAGUACUAGUGGUUAUGGGUUAGAAUGAUCAAAAAUUUGCUAAGGAUGCUGACGUAAUGGCUUUAAACGACCCGUCUUGAAACACGGACCAAGGAGUCUAACAUAUAUGCGAGUGUUA